AGUUCCUUAAUUGUUAAAGCAUUUUUUUCCAGACCUCUUAUGUUUAAGAUUGUUUGUAUGGAAUAUACAACAACACAUCCAAAUGACAGAAAAGAGGGUUUUUUGCACUAAAGACUGACGUUUUGGGUCAUGAUGGGGCAAAUGAGUAUUCAAGAUGAUUCAUGAGCAAGUUGUUUACUGAGGAUUCUAGAUGGCACGCUCUGUUCAACAUGGAGCUGAAAGUACACUGACUUGCCAUUUCUUAAUAACCUGGCCUGCAAGGGAAUUCUUACGUCAUUUGUGAGUUGACAAAACCCUGAGAAUCCAUCAUGUUCCCAACCCACUGAUUUGUUCUGAUGGGGGGCUAAGGGGAUGAAUAUGCGGCUGUGAUGAAAACUUUUUGACAAUCGUCUUGAUUCAAAAACAUUGUGUGAUUUUAGAUGCCCUUUAUCUGCAUAUUUACAUUACAAAAAUGAAAACCGUCACUCAUACCAUUGUACAAACCAUUGAGGUAACAGGACUCAAUAGGUCAAAUAUCACCUUGUUAGCGCAGCAAGUAGUGUGUCAGUCUCAUAAUCUGAAGGUCGUGAGUUCAAUCCUCACACAGGGCAGAAUUUUUCAUAGUCCGCUCUAAAGUUUAAUUGUGAGCAUUAGCAGGUAGCAAAUUCUUAGAUUAAAAAAAACAGUUCCCUUUUCUAAAUCUAAAGUUUUUGUACAAAUUUUUGUACACGGAAUUAACACAAAUGUUAAAUAAAA
Long non-coding RNA from Hippocampus zosterae (dwarf seahorse), 735 nucleotides. RefSeq lists it as uncharacterized. The transcript has 2 exons. The record is from RefSeq and is a predicted model, not a curated record. NCBI's taxonomy places the organism in Eukaryota, Metazoa, Chordata, Actinopteri, Syngnathiformes, Syngnathidae.